AGGAUGAAGACUUGAUCAUUCCUAGAGCUUGUCAAGACAAAUCUGUAUUUGUAAGGCAUUAAUGGAUGUUUUAUUAGUCAGUGUGAUAGUAUUUGUUGUGUUGAUUUGCAUCUUCUAAGGAGUUGGCUGGUAAUUCAAUAAAAGAGAAUUUUAGGCCUGCAGAACAGCUCUGACUACAGAACCUUGCGAACGUGAGACUUGCAAGGCUGUUGGAAGCUCACUGCCAAAACUGACACUUAGCAACAGCAGGCAGAAUGUAAAAGCAGGAGGUUUAUUUUUUCCUGUAUGUUUUACUUUAUGUAAAAAAUAUAUAUUUAUUUAGAGACAAGAGUUGUGAUUUUUCAGCAGUCCUCUUUCAUUUCUUAUAUUGCCUGGACAUACAUGUGUAAUGAAGGCUUUUACUGUGCUAAAUUAAUUGAUUAAAUUUCUACACUCGUGGUUGUGCGUCUCUCCAUUUUGUGACUGCCUAUGCGUGACAGCAUAUCCAUUUUCUGUCCUUUAUGUGAGUGAGCCCUUCACAAGGGGAACCAAAGGCUGAUGUAAAUGUGUUUCGGACAGGUGCACUGCAUACACCGAACAAGUCAAGGUCUCUUACAUUUCAUACAGAAGGUUCUUUAUAUGCAUGUAGAAAUGUAGAGUGAGAAGAUGACAGAAGUUUUCACAUCCUCCUCAGCCUAGACUUUGUGUUGUACAUUACACACAAUGCCCUGCUCCAGAACCAGUGCACCUUGGUGAUGAAUGAAGUGUUCUACUCCCAUGCUGCAAAAGGUAGAUGCUACAACCUCUGUCACUGUAAGCUUCUCCAGGAACACUCAGGGAACUAACCUGGUGCCAUCUGCCAGACACACUGGUGUGUUUGUAGGGACAGUUCAAGGACACUGCUCAGAGCUUUUGUGUGACAGCUCCAGCAGCCUUUCCCUCCGUGCUGUCACAGUCUGUCUCAGAGAAAAACGUGCCUCCAGGCCUCUUUUUGCUUCUCUCAAAGGCCCAGAGGAUUGAGCCUAGGUUCAGAAAGAGAAACCAGGAGCUAGGCUUUCUGAAGGGCUUGGCAGCCACAGUCACUUAGAUGUCUCACCUCUGCAGCAGAGCUUUUAAAAACGUGUGUGCUGAUAGACUCAAAGCCGUGUUCCAUGUGCAUCCACUGGAGAGCCUUUGCAAUGAAAUAAAGUCCAAAGUCUGCAUAAUGAAAAUAGACUAAACACCAUAGCAGUUAUGCCCUUUGUCACGUAUAAGGAUAUUCAAAUUACAGGGAUUCCUCCAAGAACACAUCAUUUUCCUAAGGGUACAUGUAAGUAAGGGUGAAAUAUUCUAUACCUCAGUAGGCAAAUGAUACUACUGCAACAUAGUGCCUAUCAGUGAGACUUGUAAGGAAGAUAAAGAGCCUCCUGUACCAGGGAGGCCACUUCUUCAAAAUGCCUAUUAUAUACAAAAACAGUAAACCCUUUUUGGCAGUGAUUGUUGGGCUUAGUGCUUUAUUUCUUUAGGAAAGAAAUUGUUUCCUAGGAAAGACUUAGGCAUUUUUCAUGAAAUUCCAGCUCAGUAAAAAGGGCUUUGUUGCAUAUUAAGAAAGUUGCAAUAUAGCAAGAAGUGUAGAAAAACUGCAAGCUCUCACCUCAGGUGCUGGGGUGCAUAGCUGUGUGGGGAAGCCGGGUGCACAGCAGCGGUGAGAGGAACAGGGGCAUGAGCAGCUCAGAGGAUGCCAGCUGCCAUCCCAGUGGCACAGAGGGGACAUAUGCCCCUGCACUAGGCAGCCUGAACAAAAAAUGGUCAGUGUGAUCUGCUCAAGGUGUCUUUCUUUCCAUGCUAUGUGAAAAGAGUCACCGUCCCACCCCUAGCUGAUGCUACCACACCAUGACAGCUGUCUGUUGUCGCAGCUUAGCCUGCUGCUGCUCUUUAGCAGCCCUCUUCUGCCUGCUUCAUUCUGUCUUUCUUUCAUUUAUUUAUUUAUUUUUAAUGCUUUUUCUAAGCCUCUGUUAUGGUUUGGAAAUCCAGAGUGAUCUUCUGUCCUCUGCAAGUCCAUAAAAGAUGUAUUCUGUUCGGAUUUCAAAACAACCCAUCAGAGAUUAAAUGAUAAUAGGUUUAUUUAGAGCCUGAAGGAACUUCCUUAUCACGUGUGAUGCAACAGCACAUGGGAGAUUAAAUCCCAGAGUACCUUUCAAGGCUAUUUUUAAUUUGUCCUCAAAUAAGCCCUGCUUUUAUUAAAGACUUUCCAAAGGAGCAGAGUAGAGCACUCUCUGUCAUUUUCUGAAAUGACUUUGAGCACUGAGCUGCGUCUACAUUUUCUCAGGCGGUGCUUAUUAUAAAAUAUGUGAAGAAAUACAACAUGAGUGAGCCCGAUACCCAGCUAUGAGUUUAAAAGGCUUUACACGGGCAUCACAAGUAUAUUGAACCUGCAGCGGGAUUUUUUUAGACUGCUCUUCUGAUCCAAGCAUCACCUGUAGAGGCGUGCAGGAACUCUGCAAAGCAGCAGACGCAGAGUGGAUGUGGGGCGACCUGGACACCACACAGAAAAAACACUUCCAUGGCGGGCAGCCAGACCCCACCUUGGCUGCUGGCAACUGGCAUGAGCAGCUAUCCCUGGCUAAUCCCUUUCAGCAGAAAGCUGCCAGUGGCACCUAGAAAAGGGCUCUGGUGGAAAAUACCUACCAGAAGAGGGUUCACAGGGCAGCUGAAAGCUGCCGAGCGGUAUGCCACCAUUGACACCCAUGCAGCUCUUGACACUGGGCAGCUGCUUAGCUGCUUGGGACAAAAGAGAGAUGAUUGAGAAAUUAAGAUAAGCUGUAGAUUUGGGCAUCUCUGGAUAUUUUCCAGCCUGCUGUCUGGAUAAAUUCAGUUUCACAUUGAAGGAGCUCCUUUUUCUCAGCAGGAUGACCUAAGCCCUUAACGAAACGGCGAGCUCCCUCUGACCUCUUGGGGCAGCCAUUACCAGCAGCGGAGCGCAGGCCCGAGCCCUGGCUGCCUAAUUCCGCCUGGAAAACCAGGGACGGGAAAGUCCGUGGCGCUACCAAACGGAGCCCUCACGAAGGGACUACUCGCGGGAGCAACCUCCAGAGGGAGCUGCGCGCAGUCAAGUGCGCGGAAGCAACCAAUUCACUUCGGCGGGUUUGCCAUUUUACACCGUUAUGGAGGACGGGCCUUGAGAGCUCUCCACGAACUCGAAACGUGUGCAGUUAGCAGCGGGUUUAAGCAACAGAUUCCCCUGCCGAGACCUCCGCGCGGUGUGCUCAGCAGCCGACCGUCACGUUGACAGCCUGCGCCGCUGCGGCCCUCGCGGUGAGGGAAGAGCCAGGCAGCCGCAGGGAGCCGCCCGCCCGCCGCCCCGCCCGCCGCCGGCCAUUGGCCGCACGCAGCCAUUACUCCCGCGGGCGGCGGUGAGGGGCUGGACUUCCUUGUCGCUGCGGCGGCAGCGGCGGGGCCGGCGGCAGGUGAGUUGGGGAGGUGUUGGUGGUGGUGUUACGGAGGAGCCCCUUGCGGAGGGCGUGAGCAUGGAGUGCCCCAGCAGGCGCUCUGACCCCGCGGGUGCGCUUUGGGGGCUGGGAGGCGGGCGGAGGGGGUGUCGGCUGGGGCCGGCUUCCUGUGUGGGGCAGCGAUAAGUGCGCAGCUGUCGAGUGCGCUCGUUCCCCGUCGCGCCUUGCGUUCCUCUACGCUGCUUCGGGCGGCGGGCCGGCCAAAGCAGGAAGGGAGAGGGGCUCGGUGGCAGCAAGCAGCGAUAAAUCCCGUCGCUGUGCGGCCGUGCUGGUACAGGAGCGCUGCUGGCUGAGUUGCUGCCUUGGCCAGGAUGGGAAACGAAGCGUGAAGCUUCAUUUGAAGCUUUGUGUUUCAGGACGCUGCCCCUUCGUGAACGUAUGGUGUAUUGACUUGCCUUUGCGUUUGGAGGGGGAAAAGAAAUCCACCCAAAUGUUAAAGCAGUCGUGGUUUUAGAAGCAUGCUAUGUCUUUGGAAUAACUAAAUUAAAUACAUGACACACCAGGCCUUUGGAAAGCAUCUGGGUGUGCCCAUACGCUCGGAUGGAAAGUGGCUGUGUUGGUUUUUGCUCCUGAGUGGGAAUGUGUGCUGCUUCAAGUCGUGCCUUAGCAGGAGGAAACAUCUCCUGCCCAUCGGCUCCCCCUGCGCAGCGCAGCAGCUUCUCGUGUGGAAAAUGAACACAAGUAAUUAAUUUAAUUAAAGUAUUUUUAGCAUUUUAAAUGAAAUUAGCAGCUGGAAAGACAACUGGGACCUGUGGGGAGCAGACUGUUCAGAAACUCUUCUAGAAAGGUAUCCUAAAUUACUAUUUAGCUCAUGAUGUACGGUGUCACUGUAGUGGUAGAGUAGUACAAUCUCUUCAGGUCCAAGGAAGCAUCGCCUUACAGGGAGUGUGAGCUUUGGGGUGGCUGCUCUUAACUGUGAAGCUACUUUUAUCUUUCGUAAGGUGAUAAUUCCUCAGGCUGGGAGAGGUGGCAGCCUUUUUUUGAGGCAGCUUAUGAAGUUCUCUAUAAAUAUAGAUACUGUGUCAUUUAAAGCAUAAGCAUGUGCAUGACUUCAGUGUUACUGUGUCCCUAUUCUUGGUGUCGGGAGUAGCGUAGCCAGUGGUGACUUCCAUUGGGCUUAUAUGCCAAGGGCAUCUUAGCGCAGCCAUCGGCUUAACAGAGCCUGUAACCUCCUGCUUUAUAAACUGGGGAUGCUUUGGUGCUUGCCCAGUGACAAUCCUGAAGCGUGGAUGACUUGAGCUGCGCUUGAAAGGAAUAGAGGCAGUUAGAAGUAAAUAGGUUAUGAUGCAUGCUUUGGAGCUCCUGUAAGAGACCUUAGCAAGCAGUUUGUGAGAGAAGAUGGCAUUUUCCAGCUGCAGUGGUUCCAUCUUCUGUCUCUCUUGGCUCGGCCCUGCCUUGGUGGAGGUGAGUGCACCUGGUGACAGGGCAUGGCCACGGGUGAGGGCAGCUGGUAGGAGAUGAGCACCCUUUGCUUAGGGCUUGGAUUAUGGAAGGCUUUAUGGCUAAUGCAGCUUGAAUUAGCACCAGGCUUUGGGAGCUGCAUGCAUGUAUUUUCUGUCUGAGUGGGGAAAUCUCCUUUUCAUGGGGAAUCUGCGGUGAUGCCUCAGAGGUUACCACUGGUGUUAGAUCCUGUGCUGACGUAGUGAGCGCUGCUGCAGUAAAUUGCCUUAGUUUAAAACUUGCCAUGGUGAGUCAUGAGGCUUGAUGUCUAGGAUAUUGCUUUUUCUCCUCUGCUCUUUCCUUUCUGCUAAUGAAAUAGGGAAGGCUUAUAAUCAGUUCCUAUUUCAAGCAGAGGAAUUCUCCAUGUCUUAUCAAUACAGCAUGUUUAACAAAUGGCCCAAACAUAAUGAGGAUGGGAGUACAAGGAAGUGUCAUUAAAAUCUUUCAGAUGCUCAUUCUGGAAUGAAGGCUGAUUCCCCAGCUCUUACAUGUUAGAAAGCUGUUGUCAUUACUAAGCUCAGACUGCGCGAUGAGAUGGUCCUCUCGCCUAUUGCUCUGUUUUUUUCCCUUCCCAUGUUGCUGUGUUCUCUGCAAUCUGAGUUUCACUGAACGCAGCCCAAAAGGCAGCGACAUGAGAGCUUUACUGCUGUCAGAGGCUGUGCUACCAGUGUGCUGCUCCAUGUGAACUGCUUUUUAUUAAAAAAAUCUUGCUGUGGC
This 5624-nucleotide long non-coding RNA is filed under the name Pavo cristatus (Indian peafowl). Its description in RNAcentral is "lncRNA (ENSPSTG00000006715.1)". Lineage: Eukaryota; Metazoa; Chordata; Aves; Galliformes; Phasianidae. The record is from RNAcentral.